This is a small nucleolar RNA of Nycticebus coucang (slow loris), 64 nucleotides long. RefSeq annotates it as small nucleolar RNA U2-19. The record is from RefSeq and is a predicted model, not a curated record. The transcript has a single exon. NCBI's taxonomy places the organism in Eukaryota, Metazoa, Chordata, Mammalia, Primates, Lorisidae.
GAUCAGUGAUGAAAAUAGCCAAGUCUGAGCAUCAGAUUCCAGCCUACCUGACACAGUUCUGAGA